AUCCAGCUGACGAGCCCCAAAUUGGACGCAACCCACGUCCUGGAU
Molecule: non-coding RNA, 45 nt
Organism: Schistosoma rodhaini
Lineage: Eukaryota; Metazoa; Platyhelminthes; Trematoda; Strigeidida; Schistosomatidae
Source: Rfam